GGUAGCAUGGUCUAAUGGUUAGCUCACUGCUUAACCGGUCAGUCCUAGGUAACUGUUCCGGGUUCGAUUCCCGGUACUACCA
Non-coding RNA from Mycena haematopus, 82 nucleotides. The record is from the annotation of a GenBank genome assembly. NCBI's taxonomy places the organism in Eukaryota, Fungi, Basidiomycota, Agaricomycetes, Agaricales, Mycenaceae.